RNAcentral lists this ribosomal RNA (1405 nucleotides) under metagenome. RNAcentral describes it as "bacterial LSU rRNA". It matches the Rfam family "Bacterial large subunit ribosomal RNA", at positions 1518 to 2925 of the family's 2925-position model. The record is from RNAcentral.
UGUGAGGCUAGUGUGUAGGCAAAUCCGCACACUAUUAGGCUGGGCUGUGAUGGGGAGCGAAAAUUGUAGUAGCGAAGGUCAUGUACUCCGGCUGUCAAGAAAAGCCUCUAGUGAGAUCUAGGUGCCCGUACCGCAAACCGACACAGGUAGGCGAGCAGAGCAUGCUAAGGCGCGCGGAAGAACUCUCGUUAAGGAACUCGGCAAAAUGACCCCGUAACUUCGGGAGAAGGGGUGCCUCGGUAGGGUGAAUAGCCCGAGGGGCCGCAGUGAAAAGGCCCAAGCGACUGUUUAGCAAAAACACAGGUCUGUGCGAAGCCGUAAGGCGAAGUAUACGGGCUGACGCCUGCCCGGUGCUGGAAGGUUAAGGGGAGCGGUUAGGGGUAACCCGAAGCUGUGAACCGAAGCCCCAGUAAACGGCGGCCGUAACUAUAACGGUCCUAAGGUAGCGAAAUUCCUUGUCAGGUAAAUUCUGACCCGCACGAAUGGCGUAACGACUUGGGCGCUGUCUCAACGAGAGAUCCGGUGAAAUUUUAAUACCUGUGAAGAUGCAGGUUACCCGCGACAAGACGGAAAGACCCCAUGGAGCUUUACUGUAACUUGAUAUUGGACUUUGGUACGAUCUGUACAGGAUAGGUGGGAGCCUUAGAAGCAUGAGCGCCAGCUUGUGUGGAGGCAUCGUUGGGAUACCACCCUGAUCGUAUCGGAGUUCUAACCUGCUGCCGUGAAACCGGCAGAGGGACCGUGUCAGGUGGACAGUUUGACUGGGGCGGUCGCCUCCUAAAAUGUAACGGAGGCGCCCAAAGGUUCCCUCAGAAUGGUUGGAAAUCAUUCGAAGAGUGCAAAGGCAUAAGGGAGCUUGACUGCGAGACCUACAAGUCGAGCAGGGACGAAAGUCGGGCUUAGUGAUCCGGUGGUACCGAAUGGAAGGGCCAUCGCUCAACGGAUAAAAGCUACCCUGGGGAUAACAGGCUUAUCUCCCCCAAGAGUCCACAUCGACGGGGAGGUUUGGCACCUCGAUGUCGGCUCAUCGCAUCCUGGGGCUGAAGUAGGUCCCAAGGGUUGGGCUGUUCGCCCAUUAAAGCGGUACGCGAGCUGGGUUCAGAACGUCGUGAGACAGUUCGGUCCCUAUCUGUCGCGGGCGCAGGAAAUUUGAGAGGAGCUGUCCUUAGUACGAGAGGACCGGGAUGGACGUACCGCUGGUGUACCAGUUGUUCCGCCAGGAGCACCGCUGGGUAGCCAAGUACGGACGGGAUAAGCGCUGAAAGCAUCUAAGCGUGAAGCCCCCCUCAAGAUGAGAUUUCCCAGUAUGUAAGACCCCUUGAAGACGACGAGGUUGAUAGGUUCGGGGUGGAAGCACAGCAAUGUGUGUAGCUGACGAAUACUAAUCGGUCGAGGGCUUAUCCAA